GGAGAUAGUCAAACCUUUUCAGAACAUAACUUUCCAGGUUUUAUGUUAAAAUUGCUAAGAGUUGCCUUUGUAACAUGCAAUUAUGACUACUAGAAACAAUUUUACAUGCAAGGUAUGUAAGAACAGUAAAUUGUGUUUUUUUUCCCUGUAAAAGGUUACAAAAGGUUUUUGCUUCUUUAAAAUUUCUGAGUCAUCAUUUUGGCAAAAUAUAUAAUUUAUGGGAAUCUGGAAUUCCAAAGUCAAACUUCAGUUUCAAAAUUCUCUUUCUGAAUGCCUGGCUUUUUGGAUGGAUCAGAGAGCCCCUGAAAACAUCCAGAAAAGAGCAGGUGAAAAAGCUUUUUAUGUUUUGGAUCUUCCGAAAACAUCAGCGAAAGACUGUCCUUGCCAUCCAGACUACAACAAAAACUUUAGGACCUUGAAGUUUGGGUUCAUAAUCUCAUAAAUGAGAAGGGUCCCUCUACACUCUCAGAACUGUACACCCGUUGGAACCCUUAAGAGACCAUCAAGCUUCACAUCAUCAUGCAACAAAGGUUCCAGCCAGUUCCAGGUGAAGACACCACCCCUGGCCAUCAAGAAGCUACCUUGCCUUCACCAGACAGAGCAGGAAUUUUUGAGUUGGGUGGAAGUAGUGACUAUAUGAAGCAACUACCACUGAAGGACCAGAAAAGAAUAACGACAAUAUUAAAGAAAACAGCCAUCUUGGAGUCCAGUUAUAUUUUAAUAAAAGAUUUGUUCUCUACCAAUGCCCUACACUGCUAACAGGAAACUGCCUUCUGGAUUUGUGGGAAGUUCACCAGCAGGAAGCGCCAGUGGAAAUUGGGAGGGUGGCUAUAGCUGAUUUCCACUGUUCUUCAGUUAGUUUCCUGGCUGCUCACAAAGAUUUUCCUGCAUGCCACUGCUCUCCAGGAAUCUACCAACAUUCACGUAGACUUCUCAAUGAAUGGCACGGAAAGUUUCUUCUUAAGGCAUCUUCAAAUUCAGAGAAUCCUUCUGGAUUUUUGGACUUUUUUCUCCCUCAACGUGGAUUAAAUGUUGGACUUUUCUCACUCAACUUGGAUUGAAUGUUGUCAUAGAGAUCUAACAGCAAGUGAACUAAUGCUGAUUCAAAGACACCAAGAGAGGGGGCGAAAUGGAAGGUGUGAAAUCACAGAAACCAAGGGAAUGAAAAACUGCAAAUAAAUAAGCCAUCACUUGAUAUCCUGCUACAUCUCCAGGAAUAAAAAGCUGGAAAUAAAUAAGCCAGCCAAGAAGAUUGAUACAUGACUGGAGCCUGAAUGGUAGAACUUUUUCAGAAGUGAGGAGUCUGUUGGCCCAGAAGAUCUGCGGUAAGAUCUGCCUCAACAUACCUUACUCAUUUUUUUCAAAGAGACUCUAGAGUCUAAAAUGAACAACCAAUCAAUUCUACAAACAUUGCAUCAUGAGGAGUUGCUGCACCUCUUCUCCAGGAUUUGCAAAACGUGUAGUCCAAAUCGAGUUCGGCUAGAACUGGUCUGUCAUCAAGAUAUGGCUCAUGAAAGAGAUUGGUGUUUAGGAGGCUGGGAAAAGGAAAUAUUUUGAGAGACUUCAUGUGCUCCGCACAUGGAGGUGGCUUCCUUUUGCCUCAGGUGAAGGGAGCUUCAACAAGAUCACUCAGAGUUUGAUCAAUGAUCUUAGAAUUUGCAGAACAUAGGGACUGCCAUUUGACUCACCCUUUAGAAGUCAGGAGGAAAGGUUACGUGGCUGGCACUUCUCAUGUCUGGGAAGGAACAACUGUGAAGUGCUGACCUAGACGAAUGUUGCACUUCCGCUGAUGAGUAGGCAAUGGCGAAUGUUUUCCAGGGUCCAAAUGUGGACCCGGCAACAGAGAGGCUGUCUGUAAUCACUUUAUAAGAGACACUAACAACAAUGACCACUGGGACUAAAGAGAGCACAACGGAAGUAGUUCUGCCAGAAGGGCUGAGGAGAGGGCUGAGCAACCACCCUCAGGGGAGGCAGACCCACAUCAAAGACAUCUCAGCAGUCCCUUUCCCAUGAAAGAAAGAGCUAGAAAUUGUCCAUUUGACACACACACAAACCAGAUCCCAGAUUGCAAUUGAUUCAGAUAAUGAAAAGCUUGUUCUUUUCACUUGCUGUUCUAGCCUAACCAUGUAGGUGUCAGAAGCAGUUGUAGGCUAGGAGAGAAGUCGGAGCAAUACAGAAGCCAGUUCUGCCUUUGCCUCAAGAUCCACUGUCCACUCAGAGGCAGGCUGGCACAUGGGGGAUGAGAACAUUCCAAGAAAGAUGUGAAUCUGGAAUUUUCAUUUAUGCAGUAGAUGGGGAUUUACUACUGAAAGGAACAUGUUUUGGCAACUAAUAGUGACCAAAAGAAUUUGUACUUACUAAAAAUUAUCUUAAAAGCAUGGGAUUACCCUAGCAUUUUGUUUCAGAAACUGAAAUUAACAGAAAACUAUAAAAUUACUUUCUGCCUGAAACCUAAGAAGGUGAACUCAUGCCAGAAACCAGUUACAUUCACAAUUACCUGGAUUUUGUUAUUUCCUACAAUGAAUAAAACUUAUUAUAAAGCAGAAAAGC
RNAcentral lists this long non-coding RNA (2550 nucleotides) under Homo sapiens (human). RNAcentral's name for it is "HSALNT0210413". The record is from RNAcentral. Lineage: Eukaryota; Metazoa; Chordata; Mammalia; Primates; Hominidae.